RNAcentral lists this transfer RNA (70 nucleotides) under Hystrix indica. Its description in RNAcentral is "tRNA-His". It matches the Rfam family "tRNA". From Rfam's summary of the family: Transfer RNA (tRNA) molecules are approximately 80 nucleotides in length. Their secondary structure includes four short double-helical elements and three loops (D, anti-codon, and T loops). Further hydrogen bonds mediate the characteristic L-shaped molecular structure. tRNAs have two regions of fundamental functional importance: the anti-codon, which is responsible for specific mRNA codon recognition, and the 3' end, to which the tRNAs corresponding amino acid is attached (by aminoacyl-tRNA synthetases). tRNAs cope with the degeneracy of the genetic code in two manners: having more than one tRNA (with a specific anti-codon) for a particular amino acid; and 'wobble' base-pairing, i.e. permitting non-standard base-pairing at the 3rd anti-codon position. Lineage: Eukaryota; Metazoa; Chordata; Mammalia; Rodentia; Hystricidae. The record is from RNAcentral.
GUAAAUAUAGUUUAAUGUAAAACAUUAGAUUGUGAAUCUGAUAAUAGGAACUUAAGCCUCCUUAUUUACC